AUGUGCGAUGAGGAGCAUGGUCUCUGGCGGUGCAUCGUGCCCAUGAUCUGUGUGUACGCCGUCGAGUGGCACUUGCCACAACGUGUGGCCACGCAGUUUGGGAUUUUUCAACAUACCCCACCGGGCCAGUCCACCGAUACCGGCGGCCACGCGCUCCACUUGAUGAGUGGGCAGAAGAAUCAGUCGAUCACAGACUGGGGAGAGCAUCAUAAAAAACAUGUGACGGAGUGGAACCGAUGGAGGUACCGGAAAGACGGGGAGAGGAGGGUGACUGACUGGGAUGCUUACCUGAACCGACACAUGAAGUGA
RNAcentral lists this ribosomal RNA (309 nucleotides) under Triticum aestivum (bread wheat). RNAcentral's name for it is "partial small subunit ribosomal RNA". The record is from RNAcentral. Lineage: Eukaryota; Viridiplantae; Streptophyta; Magnoliopsida; Poales; Poaceae.